UUCCCGUGUAAGCCAGAUCAAAGAACCAUUUUCUUUGAGAUUUUUCUUGAACAAGUGAGAAGAUGAGUAGUGGAUGAUGGGUGGCUUGGGUAGUGAAUCCGGCUUGGUCAAAAUAGUUUGAAGCUUAUAAUUGUUGUAUCUACAACUGGGUUUACUCUUAUGAAGUGUUGGAAGGACGAUUUGAAGUAUGAGGGUUUGAGAAACUCUUUAAGAGACUAGGGCCAUGCUCAAGAAUGUUCUUGAAAGGAAAUUGAAGAUUUGUGUUUACUAAGGUAUAUGAGCUACUGGAACUUUUGUUGAAGUUGGAGAUUUGGUGGAAAUACGCACGGCGAAUCCGGUGAAUUAAAAAAAAUCAUCAAGGAGGCAAGGAAAGUAAUAAAGCUUUCAAGGGUGACUAGUUGACCGGUGAAUUA
This is a long non-coding RNA of Tripterygium wilfordii, 413 nucleotides long. RefSeq lists it as uncharacterized. The transcript has 5 exons. NCBI's taxonomy places the organism in Eukaryota, Viridiplantae, Streptophyta, Magnoliopsida, Celastrales, Celastraceae. The record is from RefSeq and is a predicted model, not a curated record.